This is a long non-coding RNA of Cryptomeria japonica (Japanese cedar), 478 nucleotides long. RefSeq lists it as uncharacterized. The transcript is spliced from 2 exons. NCBI's taxonomy places the organism in Eukaryota, Viridiplantae, Streptophyta, Pinopsida, Cupressales, Cupressaceae. The record is from RefSeq and is a predicted model, not a curated record.
UUGAAUAUAUUGCGAACAUACGAUGCUAGAGCUAACUUAAACAGAAAAUUUGAAUUGUGGGCAUGACAUGCGUAAAUGAAAACAAAUUAGGUUUGGGUUCUAAAGCUUGCAUUUUAGGAAGUAAUUCUUCAUCUGGCUAUUUACCCACCUCUUAAUUUCGCUCGGCAUAAAGAGCCGCCCUUUCAAGCUUUUCUACUUCAGCAUCCCGGAUUGCAGAGAAAGAAGCAUGAUCGGAAGAUGGACCGAGAGUGUAAAUAUCAUGUUUAGUCCACAUCUAUUGCCAGCAUCACGUUGAUUAACAACGAAAAGUUAUUCGAGAAGGAUGGAAAGGAAGAAGCGGAAGGUUUAAGUUCGCUGUAGUUUAAUAUUCGCAAGGUAGAUGAUAGAAAAUUCAUGGAGUGGGAGGAAUAAAAAAAUGAGCUUCAUCUAACUGUGCUAAGUGCUUAGACUAUAGGUUUUUUAAUAAUUCUUUUUCUGA